This 210-nucleotide ribosomal RNA is filed under the name Salmonella enterica subsp. enterica serovar Colindale. RNAcentral describes it as "partial 16S ribosomal RNA". It matches the Rfam family "Bacterial small subunit ribosomal RNA", at positions 19 to 225 of the family's 1533-position model. The record is from RNAcentral. Lineage: Bacteria; Pseudomonadati; Pseudomonadota; Gammaproteobacteria; Enterobacterales; Enterobacteriaceae.
AUGGCUCAGAUUGAACGCUGGCGGCAGGCCUAACACAUGCAAGUCGAACGGUAACAGGAAGCAGCUUGCUGCUUCGCUGACGAGUGGCGGACGGGUGAGUAAUGUCUGGGAAACUGCCUGAUGGAGGGGGAUAACUACUGGAAACGGUGGCUAAUACCGCAUAACGUCGCAAGACCAAAGAGGGGGACCUUCGGGCCUCUUGCCAUCAGA